Long non-coding RNA from Falco peregrinus (peregrine falcon), 2284 nucleotides. RefSeq lists it as uncharacterized. NCBI's taxonomy places the organism in Eukaryota, Metazoa, Chordata, Aves, Falconiformes, Falconidae. The record is from RefSeq and is a predicted model, not a curated record. The transcript has 3 exons.
GGAGGUGAGCUGGGGGGGCUCCCUUGGGGUGUGCCUUAGGGAGUGAGCUGGGGGGUGCGCGCUAGGGAUGCACUUGGGGUGUGUGCACGCAGACAGCAGGAAACUGGAGAAAAGUAUGAUCAUGAGCUGUACAGCCAGCCAGGAAAACACCCCCCCCCCCCUCAUAAUUUUCUAAACAAUUAUUUCCACGUGUUCUCUUCAAUUAGUGUAACUCUGAAGCACAGAAAAACACUAACCUCAUAAGAGAUGUUCGGGAUGCUCAUAGUGAGUAAUUGUUGCCGCAGCUGCAUUAUAAUAAGAUGUUUAAAAGACGUAACUUUUUAUCAGUGUCCAGUACAAAGGGAAAUUCCCCACAUUUACACUUGUGAAUAUAUGUAUGUUCUUUCUGCCUCUCAGCAACUUGGAUUUCCCCAACUCUGUGGGAAGGCUUUUAUUUUUUAAAGUCAGUCAUUAAGAGUUGAAAAAGCUGUGUUUUGGUAUCCAUACCUCUAUUUUAAAGCGUAAUUAUUAGAUGAGCUUAGUCUUUGUUGGAAUAGCAGCUUACAGGAGCAUUUUGUGUAUGCCAUAAAUUAAAAGUCUGCUUUCUUCAAUUUUUCAAUAUACUUUCCUUUGCUUAUUUAAUAUUAUGGGAGAAUAAAAUGUCUCACUGUUUAUUACAAGACACGGAGUUUGUCUGUUCGUUAGGGAAGCACUUUGCGGGCAGACAUGAAAUGUUUGAGGCUGUGAUGCCAGCACUGGAACACAGAGAACAUGCAAAUGUAAGAAUGCCUUUGCUGGGUCAGAUGCAGAAUCUCUCUAGCCCAAUGCCCCAUCUCCAGCUGUGGCCAAAAGUGGAUGCCCAAGGGAAAAUAUUAAGACUAUAGAGAACCUUUAAUGAUACACGCUCCCUGAGUCCUCUCCCAGUCUCCAGCCAUCUGGAGGGACUUCCCAAGGCAGAGGUAGUGUCUGGUUAUUUAAUAACCCUUACUGGAUUUCUCUUUCAUGAAGUUGCUGGUCUCCCCUUGAACUCACGUGAACUUGCAUCCAUGACAUGCCGUGGCAGAGUGGCUCAGCAUAACAACAUGUUGUGUGGUUUCACCUGAAAACUCACCUUUUGUCUGCCGGCACCAUGCCACUUAGGUGCUGGGACAUGGCAAUGAGUUGAUCCCCAUGCGUCCCCUCCACAACACUCAUGAUUCUUACAACCUCUGUGUCUCUUAAGACCUGUGUUUCUCCAGGCUGAGGAUUCCUACUCUCGCAGUCCUUCAUGUACAAAGCUCUUCCAUUCUAUAACACUGCAGUUUAACGUCAGAUUUUUUACCUCUUGAGAAAAAGGGGAUGGGAAAAUGGAAGUAAUUAUCAAGCAUUCAGCCUGAUUGCCAAAAAGUAACCAAGCAAGAAAAUCCGUCACUCUUUGCAAUCAAAGAUUCAAUAUUUGACUUAGACUAAGGAAAGAGCAAUAGCUGCUCAGUACCAUGGAAAUGACAGAGUGGAAGUCAUACUACUUUGAGCUUCCAGAAGUUUCCUCCAUCUAUGGUAGCAGUUUUGUUCAGCUUCCAAAGCACGUUUUUGUUUCAGAAGAGUACUUGUAUUUUGGGUUUAGUGUUCAUCACCUCUGAUUAGCCAUAUGAGAGUCAAAGUCUGUGUUGCAGGAUCCUGAGGAAGACUGUUCUCACUGGUACCUUUUAAGACAGUAAUCCACAAGUUGGUGAGCUUGGAGAUGAAGCUAUUCACAAAACCGCUGUAGUGCAGGCUGAAUCAGUUCAGUCUUCCUCAAGUCUGCCUUGGCAGUGUGUUUGUGUCUGCAUGGCAUGUGGCAGGUGGAGCUAAGCAUUAGUUCCUUCUGAUUCCUCUUCCCACUCGGUGUGCUACCAACUGACUCCUCUUCCAGUCAGUGUCAUUUGCCACAGUUUCGGGGGUACCAGUUGCUGCAGCGUUUGGAGGACUUGCCUUUCUGGCAGUGUGGGCCCACAUCACUAACAAAUUACUACCAGAGACAGAUCCUGUUCCAUCUUCCCCUGGAUACACCAAGAAUGUUACUAUUUAGAAGUGUACCUCUUUACAGAAGUCACUUGCUCUGGGCUGAGGAGGAUGUAAGAGAAAGGUCUAUCACUAACACUUUUAAUAGCAUCUAGUCAAACAAAUAUAAUAAACCAUUUUCCUGGUCUAUUACGUUACAGAAGGGAAAACCACUAUUUGGUGUCCACGCUGCCACUUACGGAACAGAUGACGUGUCACACUGUCGGAAAGACAAGCCUUGUGAUCCCGGAGGAAGUCUCUAGUAACAAACUUGCAAUGCUUCCCU